CUGGAUAAGGGGCGGAUGUAGCCAAGUGGAUCAAGGCAGUGGAUUUGUGAAUCC
This 54-nucleotide transfer RNA is filed under the name Peliosanthes macrophylla. RNAcentral describes it as "partial tRNA-His". Lineage: Eukaryota; Viridiplantae; Streptophyta; Magnoliopsida; Asparagales; Asparagaceae. The record is from RNAcentral. RNAcentral also lists the same sequence under 1 other name.